This is a long non-coding RNA of Amphiprion ocellaris (clown anemonefish), 1397 nucleotides long. RefSeq lists it as uncharacterized. The record is from RefSeq and is a predicted model, not a curated record. The transcript has 3 exons. NCBI's taxonomy places the organism in Eukaryota, Metazoa, Chordata, Actinopteri, Pomacentridae.
UACAGAGCCUCCACAGAACCGCUAGAGAACCUGUAUAAAACAUCUAGGUGACCUCUAUUGAACCUCUAGAUAACCUCUAUAGAAAAUCUACAAAACAUGUAGAUAACCUGUAUAGAACAUCUAGAUAAUCUCUAUAGAACCUCCAGAGAACAUCUAUAGAUCCUCUAGAUAACCUCUGCAGAACCUUUAGAUAAUCUCUAGAGAACCUCUAGAUAACCUUUAGAUAACCUCCACAGAACCUCCUCAGUGAGGCAGCAGCUGAUCAGACUCUGACCUGACAAAUUGAUGAUACUUCCUGUCUGGUAGCAGAACGUUCCUUCUGGAGAACCCAGACUUCCAUCACAACACGUUGAGGGCAACAAACCAGCAACUGUCACCUUCCUCCACUGUUCCCUCUAAGCUGCGCGCGUGCGCAAUUGCGCACUGCUGACACGGUCUCCGCGCACAGAAAAUCUGCACUGCGCACAAAAAAAAAAUCCAACCUAAAUUGUAAAUAAAAUAAACAGGUAACAAUUCAUUCUGUGCUAUUUUUCAGUGUGAGUCAGUGAGUGACCGGUGACUGGCUGCUGCAGCCAAUGAUGCGAUUCACAUACGUAUUUACCAUAGACUGUAUAUAAUGGUAUUUACGCAGCUAACCAACGUCAGGCGUCCUUAUGUGCAGCCACCGUUGUUCUCAUAGAUAUGAAUGAGUAGAUAGGACACGCCCCUUUGAGCUGCGUGCUACAGCGAGGCUAAGCUAGUGGGGGCAAAGUUUCAGAGCAUUCUGUUGAUGUAGACGGCGUGAAAACGGAAACAACAAGUAUGCCGGCUCACUGUGCUGCAUACAGUUACACACUACGUCGUACGAUUGAGACAAGGAAACUUGGAAUGACUUUUCAUAGGUUUCCCAGAGACUAUGGGUUGAGGAGGAAUUGGAAGUUUGUCAGUUUAGACCUGGUGUCAUUCCAUCAGUGUUAAACUUCCCGGCUCAUCUUGGAAGAGUACGUGCCAGAAAGACCACGACCAAGCAGCCUUGAGAUCUUAGGCAGCGUCUCCCUGAGGUCCCUCUCUAUCUCCCCACACAUCCACCAACCACUGGAACACAUCUCCAAAGUUCUACUGGGCCAGCUCAGCUUCCCCUCAGAAGAAGUGGCGCCACCUGCCAGAUGAAGGAACCUUUUGAGAGGCAGCUGGCAUCGUGAUUGGACUGUACUUUGGUCUGUUCCAGUCCAGCUUCAGCUCCAGAGACGGCAGGCGGGACGAGUCAACGGAGGCCGGAUGGACGAAGGCAUGAAGCUGAGUACAAUCUAGAAAGAGACAUACAUUGUAGAAUUGUAGUAAUUGUGGGCUGACUGAUUUACUGAUUAUCAGUAUUUUAUUUUUUACUGAUUUACGGUAAUAAAUACAUUUAAAAAUGG